Molecule: ribosomal RNA, 492 nt
Filed under: uncultured bacterium
Lineage: Bacteria
Description: partial 16S ribosomal RNA
Rfam family: Bacterial small subunit ribosomal RNA
Source: RNAcentral
AGUGAACGCUGGCGGUAGGCCUAACACAUGCAAGUCGAACGGCAGCACAGUAAGAGCUUGCUCUUACGGGUGGCGAGUGGCGGACGGGUGAGGAAUACAUCGGAAUCUACUUUUUCGUGGGGGAUAACGUAGGGAAACUUACGCUAAUACCGCAUACGACCUACGGGUGAAAGCAGGGGAUCUUCGGACCUUGCGCGAUUGAAUGAGCCGAUGUCGGAUUAGCUAGUUGGCGGGGUAAAGGCCCACCAAGGCGACGAUCCGUAGUUGGUCUGAGAGGAUGAUCAGCGACACUGGAACUGAGACACGGUCCAGCCUCCUACGGGAGGCAGCAGUGGGGAAUAUUGGACAAUGGGGGCAGGCCUGAUCCAGCAAUACCGCGUGGGUGAAGAAGGCCGUCGGGUUGUAAAGCCCUUUUGUUGGGAAAGAAAAGCAGCAGGUUAAUACCCCGCUGUUCUGACGGUACCCAAAGAAUAAGCACCGGCUAACUUCGUG